GAUGAAGAACGUAGCGAAAUGCGAUAAGUAAUGUGAAUUGCAGAAUUCAGUGAAUCAUCGAAUCUUUGAACGCACAUUGCGCCCGCCAGUAUUCUGGCGGGCAUGCCUGUUCGAGCGUCAUCUCAACCAUCAAGCCCUGCUUGCGUUGGGGUCCUGCGGCUGCCCGCAGGCCCUGAAAACCAGUGGCGGGCUCGCUAGUCACACCGAGCGCAGUAAUACAUCUCGCUUUGGGCGUGCGGCGGGUUCUUGCCGUUAAACACCCCCUUUUUACCAAGGUUGACCUCGGAUCAGGUAGGAAUACCCGCUGAACUUAAGCAUAUCAAUAAGCGGAGGA
RNAcentral lists this unclassified non-coding RNA (334 nucleotides) under soil metagenome. RNAcentral's name for it is "partial contains 5.8S ribosomal RNA, internal transcribed spacer 2, and large subunit ribosomal RNA". The stretch from base 1 to 120 matches the Rfam family "5.8S ribosomal RNA", at positions 35 to 154 of the family's 154-position model. The record is from RNAcentral.